AGGGAGAGGAGGGGAAGGAGGGAGAGGAUCUUAUGAUUUGGGGAACAAAAAAGGGAAUUGGUGACUAUAAGAUGCCCUCCUACUAAAGUGCUGCUGCAAUAAAGCAGGGCUAUAAAGGAGAUGCCCAGACUUUGCAAUCAGGUGACAUCUUAAUGCAGACUCAAUGCAGAGGAUCCUCAAAUUGGUACCAGAGAAGCCUGGCUUUGAGACUAAGCUUCAUCUCAUGGAUCACCACUCAGACACUGCAUGAGGAAGGUGCCAACUGAACUGAUGAAAGUCUCAAGAGCUGGCCAAUGUCAGCUGCAAACAGAGCUGCCUACAGAAUGAGACACAUGUGGUGUAGUAAUAGGGUGUAGGGAGACCUGUGAGAGCUGUAUACAUACACCUCUACUUCACUGUGUGCAGCACCAGCUAUAAAAACAGAUCUUCAAAACCACCUGACUCCCCUCAGCAAAUCCUGUCUGAAAACUACAGUCCAUUCCUGUCUGUGUGAAUGAUUAGUGCUAUGGACUUGCACAUACAGACAAGGGCUCAUCAAUUUCUUUAAAUGGUGAUGGUUCUCGAAUGUUUCACCUAAUUUCAAUGAAUUUGCAAACCCUAUUUCAUUUUACUUGAGCCUGUCCCCCAGGGGCUUACGUUGUGCAGUUUCUCUGAAAAUGUGUAUUGCUUUAGAUCUGUGCUUUGCAACUGGCUAACCACCUACUUAGCAGUGCUUGUCAUUUGGUUUUUUUUUUUUAAUAUUCUCAAGUCUUAU
This is a long non-coding RNA of Chiroxiphia lanceolata (lance-tailed manakin), 754 nucleotides long. RefSeq lists it as uncharacterized. The record is from RefSeq and is a predicted model, not a curated record. NCBI's taxonomy places the organism in Eukaryota, Metazoa, Chordata, Aves, Passeriformes, Pipridae. The transcript is spliced from 3 exons.